AUGCUCACUUCAGCAGCACAUACACUAAAACUGAAACGAUACAAAGAUUAGCAUGGCCCCUGCACAAGGAUGACAUGCAAAUUCGUGAAGGAAUUCGAACCUCA
Small nuclear RNA from Cavia aperea (Brazilian guinea pig), 104 nucleotides. The record is from Ensembl. NCBI's taxonomy places the organism in Eukaryota, Metazoa, Chordata, Mammalia, Rodentia, Caviidae.